This 253-nucleotide ribosomal RNA is filed under the name uncultured bacterium. Its description in RNAcentral is "partial 16S ribosomal RNA". It matches the Rfam family "Bacterial small subunit ribosomal RNA", at positions 524 to 776 of the family's 1533-position model. The record is from RNAcentral.
UACGUAGGGUGCAAGCGUUGUCCGGAAUUAUUGGGCGUAAAGAGCUUGUAGGCGGCUUGUCGCGUCUGCUGUGAAAUUUCGGGGCUCAACCCCGAACUUGCAGUGGGUACGGGCAGACUAGAGUGUGGUAGGGGAGACUGGAAUUCCUGGUGUAGCGGUGAAAUGCGCAGAUAUCAGGAGGAACACCGAUGGCGAAGGCGGGUCGCUGGGCCGUAACUGACGCUGAGAAGCGAAAGCAUGGGGAGCGAACAGG